UGGACUUUGUGGAAAUACACAACAGCAAAUAGAAAACAAAGGACUAGAUGAACUUUGUGGAAAUACACAACAUCCAACAGAAAACAAAGGACUAGAUGAACUUUGUGGAAGAACAAAGCAGUCAAUAGAAAACGAAGAACUAGAUGAACUUUAUGGUGGUAACGAUUAUCUGCAACUACAUAUAACAUUAAGGAACGACGUCAUAAAUGCAAAAUGUAUUCUUAAUGAAUGGAAACAACAACACGAGAAAGUUAUAGAGUAUAGAGCACAGGAAAGUGGUCCGGAUCAUGAAAAGUGUUUCAGGGUAAAUGUAUAUGUUGAUGGUGCACUGUGUGGAACUGGUAUUGGGUCCAGAAAGAAGGAAGCACAACAGCGUGCAGCUAUUUCUGCUGUUCAACAACUCGGGAUUAAUACAGAUUUUAUUACUUUUACCAGAAACGGAAUUGAAGCUGAUCCGAAAUCACUGCUAAAUGAGAAAUUACAGAAGCGCCAUAUCCGGAAUAUCAAAUACACAGAAAUAUCAAGGACAGGUUCUGCUCACGAGC
Molecule: long non-coding RNA, 545 nt
Organism: Mytilus trossulus (common blue mussel)
Lineage: Eukaryota; Metazoa; Mollusca; Bivalvia; Mytilida; Mytilidae
Exons: 4
Source: RefSeq, a predicted model, not a curated record